Long non-coding RNA from Zalophus californianus (California sea lion), 572 nucleotides. RefSeq lists it as uncharacterized. The transcript is spliced from 3 exons. The record is from RefSeq and is a predicted model, not a curated record. Lineage: Eukaryota; Metazoa; Chordata; Mammalia; Carnivora; Otariidae.
CAGAGAAGUCAUUUGGAGUAAGUGUUGUUGAUGCCCAUGUCUCAAUGUAGAACCAACCAGGUGAAGAAAAUGAGGGGCUUUGGGAAGUGUUCCAGAGGAAAGAACUUGGAGGAGCCUUGGAGUAAAAACCGGUUGGACAUUGUCUUACUCCAUUCAGACUGCUGUAACAAAUUAUGGUAGAGCGAAUGGCUUCUAAGCAAGAUGCGUUCAUUAUUCACAGUGCUGGAGCCUGGAAGUCUCAGAUCAGCGUGCCAACACAGUCCUGUUCUGAAACUCCCAAUUAUGGUAGUUCUUCACUGCAAAGCAAUUGUAACUCAUUCCCUGGCUAAGAGGAAUCGAGGAGGAAAAGAUGAAUAAAACAACUGAAGAUGAUUCUUGUUGCCGAAUCCACUACAGAAAGUGGGAAUUCCCAAACAUAAGGAAUUGAAGAUGAAAAGAUGAAUAAAACAAUUCUCUUGAUACUUCUGAAAUUACUCUCCAUACAGCUUCCAAAAUGAUCUUUAUAAAAAUGUAAAUCAGACUAUUACUCUUAUAGUUAAUAAUCUCUAUGGCUUCCUAUUGCUCUUGGAAUA